AGUUUACGGUUUAGAGUGCAGUGCUAUCUGUUUAAAGGUGGGGAAAACAUCUGAAAAAUUACAAAACAGACUUCAGCACUUCGUUAAACACACAGCUCUUUCAGAAGUGCAGCCGAUCCCCUCUCCCCGUUUCCAUUACAGAGACAAAUGGCAAAUAAGACCUUCUUGAGAGGACCAACAUUCGUUCAACCAUCCCUGGAUUUCUUUGGAAACCAAGAUGUGGAGUGUUUACCAUUUGUUUACAGUGUGUAGGCAAUGUUUACAGAACAGAUAGAACUCCUUCUAUAAAAUAAACUCUUCGCCCCUUUUU
This is a long non-coding RNA of Pantherophis guttatus, 310 nucleotides long. RefSeq lists it as uncharacterized. The record is from RefSeq and is a predicted model, not a curated record. NCBI's taxonomy places the organism in Eukaryota, Metazoa, Chordata, Lepidosauria, Squamata, Colubridae.